This 251-nucleotide ribosomal RNA is filed under the name uncultured bacterium. Its description in RNAcentral is "partial 16S ribosomal RNA". It matches the Rfam family "Bacterial small subunit ribosomal RNA", at positions 524 to 774 of the family's 1533-position model. The record is from RNAcentral.
UACGUAGGGAGCAAGCGUUAUCCGGAAUUAUUGGGUGUAAAGGGUGCGUAGACGGGAGUCUAAGUUAGUUGUGAAAUCCCUCGGCUCAACUGAGGAACUGCAACUAAAACUGGACAUCUUGAGUGCAGGAGAGGAAAGUGGAAUUCCUAGUGUAGCGGUGAAAUGCGUAGAUAUUAGGAGGAACACCAGUGGCGAAGGCGACUUUCUGGACUGUAACUGACGUUGAGGCACGAAAGUGUGGGGAGCAAACA